CAGAUAGGAUGAGUGUCAAUGUGCCUAUCUGUGGCGAAACUGUCCAAAUUAAACUAGUUUAACUACGCCUAAUCGCUAUUUAGAACAGCAAUUAUCCGAAAUGCACUUAAAACAGUUUAAGUCCGGUAGUCCGUCGAGUGUCCCUAGGACUCCUCGAAUGAUCCAUGUCACGUCUCAUAGCCAUACACUAGGAUUACUUCCACGAUGGGAAAG
This 213-nucleotide long non-coding RNA is filed under the name Setaria italica (foxtail millet). RNAcentral's name for it is "long non-coding RNA (SITA_LNC001231)". The record is from RNAcentral. Lineage: Eukaryota; Viridiplantae; Streptophyta; Magnoliopsida; Poales; Poaceae.